UUCCAUUUUGACUCUCACCAGAUGAACUCUUUGCAAUGGAAACAGAAGGUGGGUUGACGGAGAAAAGUAGACAUGAACUUGUGCCCGUUGACCUGGUGGAUCCUUCGUCUCACGGCGCCCUGACGCUUCCUUGUAAACUGCUUCUUCUUCUCUUUCACUAUGGCGUCGUCUGACAGAAAACAAUGACAAUGAAGGAUCAAUACUCCCUCUUUGACAUGAAGUUCCCAACUCGACCACGAUUCAAAAAGGAGCUAUUUGUACAUGGAGACUGACAUUGAAAAAGACACACAGAGACCGUCUUUGUUUAAGCU
Long non-coding RNA from Eleginops maclovinus (Patagonian blennie), 311 nucleotides. RefSeq lists it as uncharacterized. The transcript is spliced from 3 exons. The record is from RefSeq and is a predicted model, not a curated record. Lineage: Eukaryota; Metazoa; Chordata; Actinopteri; Perciformes; Eleginopidae.